Molecule: long non-coding RNA, 156 nt
Organism: Eptesicus fuscus (big brown bat)
Lineage: Eukaryota; Metazoa; Chordata; Mammalia; Chiroptera; Vespertilionidae
Exons: 3
Source: RefSeq, a predicted model, not a curated record
AUCUUCCUCAUAAAGAGAGAGUACAGAUUAUGUUGGUGGUUUCUUCUUCUACGAGUCAAAACUCAAGCAUAAGGGAAAAGGAAAACCAAACAUGAUGACAAAGAAGUACCAGAUAUGCAGCCUUGAAUGCAAUAUUAAAAUACCCAGCAAAGCUAU